This is a small nuclear RNA of Artibeus jamaicensis (Jamaican fruit-eating bat), 140 nucleotides long. RefSeq annotates it as U4 spliceosomal RNA. The record is from RefSeq and is a predicted model, not a curated record. NCBI's taxonomy places the organism in Eukaryota, Metazoa, Chordata, Mammalia, Chiroptera, Phyllostomidae. The transcript has a single exon.
AGCUUUGUGCAGUGGCAUUAUCGUAGCCAAUGAGGUUUACCUGAGGUACGAUUAUUACUAAUUGAAGAGAAAAAAGAAUUUGUGGACUUACUUUUAAACCACUACAUGUUAUUUCCAAUAUUCCGCUGUUAAAGCAUUAA